RNAcentral lists this ribosomal RNA (497 nucleotides) under uncultured bacterium. RNAcentral describes it as "partial 16S ribosomal RNA". It matches the Rfam family "Bacterial small subunit ribosomal RNA", at positions 28 to 507 of the family's 1533-position model. The record is from RNAcentral.
GAUGAACGCUGGCGGCGUGCCUAAUACAUGCAAGUCGAGCGAACGGACGAGAAGCUUGCUUCUCUGAUGUUAGCGGCGGACGGGUGAGUAACACGUGGAUAACCUACCUAUAAGACUGGGAUAACUUCGGGAAACCGGAGCUAAUACCGGAUGAUAUUUUGAACCGCAUGGUUCAAAAGUGAAAGACGGUCUUGCUGUCACUUAUAGAUGGAUCUGCGCUGCAUUAGCUAGUUGGUAAGGUAACGGCUUACCAAGGCAACGAUGCAUAGCCGACCUGAGAGGGUGAUCGGCCACACUAGAACUGAGACACGGUCCAGACUCCUACGGGAGGCAGCAGUAGGGAAUCUUCCGCAAUGGGCGAAAGCCUGACGGAGCAACGCCGCGUGAGUGAUGAAGGUCUUCGGAUCGUAAAACUCUGUUAUUAGGGAAGAACAUAUGUGUAAGUAACUGUGCACAUCUUGACGGUACCUAAUCAGAAAGCCACGGCUAACUACGUG